AUUUGACUAGUGGUUCACAGCUUCUCAAUUUUUAAUGCACUGGACUUUUUUGAAACUAUAAAUAUCCUGCAUAAUUCAAAUUUAGUCACAUAUUUUUCAAAGCAAAAAAGCAAUUCUCCAUCAAUAAUUACGUUUAAGGCAGGCGAGGAACUUCGGAAAUUAGAAUAUUCUCUUGGAUCAUUCUUUCAAAAAUUCGUUGAUCUAACAAGGUUAGAUUGGUCAACUUGGAUGGUGGCUGAGCGGUGCGAGGACUGCCAAGAAAUAGCACGUCAACCAACACAAGCUACUAUGUUUAGGGAUUUGUUGAGUUUUGGAAGAUCUUGGUAGGCAGCAAAUGCAAGUGCCUUAUCAAAAUAUACAGACUAACUCUAGCACUAUGAGCUCAAUCCUGGAAGAGUUUCAUCGUUACAAGCCCCUACCUUUAAAGAGAUGGCUGGCCCUUUGGCAACCGAAGAAUGGAUAAAGGGUUCGGAAUGGAUCUUCAAGCAUCUCUAUGCCCAAAACGUUUUAUGUGCGGAGUUCAUGCUAGUUGAUGCACCAGCCCACUGGUGGGAGUUCAUUUCAUGCAUUAGGACUGAGGCACAACAACAUAACCUCACUUGGGCAUGUUUCAAAGAGGAGGUGAUUGAAAAAUAUUUUCCACAAGCUUUGAGAGAUCGUAAGGAAACAGGGUUUCUGCAACUUAAGUAGGGAAAGGUGUCAUCAGUUGAUUAUGAGAGGAAGUUCGAACAACUUUCUAGGUAUGUAACACAUCUUGAUAUGAUCCCGGGUGCACCAUCAAUUUCCAAGAAUUCAUUAAUUGAUUGGAGAAGGUCGAAGUCAAGAACCGAGCCAAGUCGAGACUUCCAAGUAGCUAAUAAAAUUGGUCACUUAUGUAUUCGAGCAACGGAGUCUAAAACCAUGAAGUUCACGUGUCAAGGAGUAAAUUUGAUGAAGGGGCCGAAGCCUAAUUCAAUUAGGAUUAGCUCGAUAAUUACAGCCGAAGACGGAGCCAAAAUCAAAGGUUGUGCGAUCGCAUAGCUUCCAACCUUUGCGAUCGCAUAGAAGCAAACAGGGAAUUUUUCGGCAGCAUUCGGAACAACCAUGCGACCGCACUAAAUUGUGCCAUGCUGUCCCAUAGCACUAAACAGAGGCGAAAUCUUUCAUUUUCUCGCGAAGUGUUUUAAUUGGUUGAAUUUCUUAUUUUUGGAAACUCUAAUAUUAUUAGGACUUUAGCACACGGUUUUUCCAUAUUUUAGGAGUUUAUUUUUAUCUUUAAUUAUUUUUCUAUAUGUCUAGUAUAAAUAGGAUUUUCUUUCAUAAUUGUAAUACAAGACUUUUAUUAUGAAAUUAGAGAAUUCUCUCUUGAAGCUUUGCUUCAUUUAUCUUUGUUCUUGAAUGGACAAAUCCGAACUUAUCAAGACUAAUCAUCUUGUGGCGUUCAAAACAUCGGCUUGAAUCAUUGAAUUGUGUAAUCCUCUUUCACGUCAUCGUUAUCAUUGGGUUUUUUGGUUAAUCUUUUAUUGGUUCAAAUCUACAAUCCGGGUGUGAUUUCUUCAGUCGUGUGAUCAAGAGGUCCUUCACAGCACCGUUCUUGUUGGGUUGCUUGGUUCACUAUUUUGGGGUCAGAUCCAUAAACCUUGGUCAUAUUGGCGUUCUUGGGAUCCGAUUCAAUAUCCUGUGGGUUCGAUUGCAACCUUGCUAAUCGGGUUUGCAUCACAUCUAGUGGAUACAGAGCAAAAGAAAGCUAGAAGAUUCUAACUCGGAUUGCACCCAAAAAUUGGAGGAUUUUGGCAUCUGAUGAAUUCACCAUGUAUAGUCAGGUUCUACAACGAGCUUAAGCAAUUGCAAAUUGACUAGAACUUGAUCAGACAACUCAAGAAAGUACUGAAUUUUUCGGAAAGGGGAAAUAGAAUAGGGCAAAUGAAGGUAAAGGAAAUGGACAAAAUAAGAGGGCUAGUGUUGAAACGUGGUCAGGGCCAGGUAAGCCAAAUAAUGUUCUUACUCCAUGUCCUAAGUGCAAUAAAGACCAUAGAGACGAGUGUUUAUAUGGAAAGAAUGUAUGCUAUCGAUGUGAAAAGCAUGGUCAUUCUACCAAUUGCCCCCCACUAAAGAGGGACAACAAACAAAGCAAAAAGAGACCAGCUAAAGGCUUUAACCCAAUGAGAAGCAAUUGAGAAUUAGGAUAUGAUGGCAGGUAUUCUAUCAAUAUCUGAACUGCUUGCUUAUGUUCUUAUAUACUCAGGAGUUGCUCAUUCUUUGUUUAUACUGUUUUCAUUGCUAAAUCUCGUAUUAUUUGAGAAGAAGCCAUUAGUGUUUUGGAAGUUACUAUCCCAUUAACAGUACACUUAAUACAAAUCAAAUAGAUAGAGUGGUCAAAAUAGAAAAGAAUGUGUAGCUAACAUAUACCUUUUAGAGAUGAAGUUUUUCUUUUUCUUUUUUCUUUUUUUAUUUUUUAAAUGCCAUCUUAGAAAUGUAUUGGUUGGUAAAUAUUUGGGCAACUAUAUGAUGCUCUAAAAAGAAGGAAAUUUUUCAAAAGUCUGGAGAAGAUGAGACCAAGGUAAGAUAUCUUAGACUUUUCACUCGGAUAACAAAUUUCAAAGAUGAAAUUACCUUAAGGGAGUGAGAUUGUGACACCCUGAAAUUUUAUGGAAUAGAAAUUUGGUCUAGUCAAGUUUUUAGGCAAGUCAAUUAACUAUACCUAAGAUUUAAGUUAGAUCAUUAUGAAUAUCUUUAUAGUGGAGGAAUUUAAAGUGAAAAUAUGUUUUACAUUCUUAUAUCUUUGGGUAAAUAAAAGUAGACUUUUAUAGAGUGAGAUUCAGUAUAUCAAUAUCGGGCUCAUUUUGUAGUCCGAAUAAAAUAAUGUAUGUUGAGCUUAAGAAAAUAUAAUGUCAUGUAAGUUAAGCCCAAUUUAUUUCAAUUCAAGGAAACAUAUUUAAUAAGUAAUUUUUUAUUAAUAAUGUACUUUUUAAGAUAAUUAGCAAAAGAUUAUAAUAGAUAAUCACGUUUAUCUUUAAUUUGAUAAAGAUUGAAUCAUAUCCAAAUUCUAUUUUUAAUUUAAAACCAAUUAUAUCAAAGUCAGUUUUUUUCCCUACGUGUACACGUGUUGCAUAUAAUUUUGCAAGGUAAUAUUAUAUAAUGUAAUUUAUCUUUAUUUUAUCCCAUCAACUCCUAUCACUUUGCUUAUGGGACACGGCCAUUCCAACCCUUUUGCUGCAAAUGUAAUGAUUACCUUACUUUUUGACUAGAAAUAAUUUAUUUAAAUACAUUAAGGGAUAACUUCAUCUGUCUAAUAGUUAAUUAUUGUGAAUUAGGAAGUUGAUAAAGUUCUGAACCACGGUCAGGAGCAAAUUUCAGAAUUGAUAGGUUCCAAUUUAAUUAUAACUACUACAGCCCCGAUGUAGACUAGUUUAGGUUAUCCUACAUUUUUCAAAAAGAUUAAAAGUCAAAUGAUAACCCUAUUUGGUUUAGACUUCAUUAUUACAAAUCUAAAAUUAGUCUUCAAAUUCAACUCCACGUGUCAUUGUGGAUGAUUAUGAGUUAUUAUGAAAGUAUAAUCCAAACAUUGAAACCUAGAUUUAUCCUAAUUUGGCAAGUGGUUCACGGCUUCUCAAUUCCCAAUGCACCAAGACUUUUUUUAAACUAUAAAGUUAAAUUUUAGUCCCAUAUUUUUCAUAGCAAAAAGUAAUUCUCCAUCAAUAAUUACGUUUAAGGCAGUCAAGGAACUUUGGAAAUUGGAAUAUUCUUUUGGAUUAUUCUUUCGAAAAUUUGUUGAUCUAACAAGGUAUGAUACUAUGUGCAAGUUGAUCUAUCCUUGCAAUAUUAUAAUUUUUUACGUCAUUUAUUUCAUGAAAUGCUAAUUGACUUGCGAUUCCUUAUGAAAUGAAAUGUGAGAUUUCCUUCAAACUUUUUCAAUUGUGGUACAGAAAUGUGUUAGAGCAUUCGAUUGAUCACUAAUUGCUCUUAAUGAAAUGAUGGUAUGAAAUGUUAUAAAUUUAUGUUUAAAAAGUUGUUAUAUUGUUAUGCACAUAUCUUACUGAAUAUAAAUUACUCAUUCCUUCAAUUUUAACAUUUCAGGUUAGAUCCGUCAACUUGGAUGGUGGCUGAGCGGUGCGAGGGUUGUCAAGUAAAAUUUUUUAGGAAAACAUUUAAAAAUAAUUAUGUUAGGAUAUUUUUGUGUUUCUAUUUAUUUUCAUUAAAAAAUGUUACGCGACAUUAUGUUUAUUGAAUUUAGUAUUUGGGUGUUCAAAUAGAUUAAGAUUUUUAAGUUUCCAAUUUAUAUUUCCACUUGAUGUAUGAUUACGAAAUGAUAUUGGUAAUACGUCAAUAUUUAAGUCCAUAAAAUUUGGGACGUUAUAGAUAUGCUUACAUGUUGAUGUUGUUGUUCAAUAUGGUUGAAUUAGAUUAGUUCGAUGGCAGGCAAGAAUAUAGAAUAUGUCAUUGUUGUAGACAGAGAGGACGUAUGCUGCCAGCAUGCCUAAAAAAGAGAAGAUACCCAAAUUGUGGUACUUCAAGUGGUGUAAAAAAUUCCCCUACGAAGAGUGUCCAUUGCAUGAUGAUGGUGAAUCAAUUGGCAUUACAAAUGGAGGUGAACAUGAGGAUGAUUUGUCGCACAUGUUGAAAAUGCUUGCUAAGCUAAGCAAGGAAAAUGACUUGGAGAUUUCGCUCCAAAUAAAUAUACGCAAAAGGAAACAAGUUUCAGGAAAUGUAAUCUAAAAUUUGAUGUAUUAGGAUGGUGAUGAAUGGUUUCUACGUGGUGAUCGUUUGGAAUUGUAAAUCUAAACUCUUUCUAACUGUUUGUAAUCACACAAGUAUAUAUGUAUGUAUUCCACCAUUUUGA
This is a long non-coding RNA of Olea europaea var. sylvestris, 4819 nucleotides long. RefSeq lists it as uncharacterized. The transcript is spliced from 4 exons. NCBI's taxonomy places the organism in Eukaryota, Viridiplantae, Streptophyta, Magnoliopsida, Lamiales, Oleaceae. The record is from RefSeq and is a predicted model, not a curated record.